CCUACGGGUGGCAGCAGUGGGGGAUAUUGCACAAUGGGGGGAACCCUGAUGCAGCGACGCCGCGUGGGUGAAGGAGUGCUUCGGCAUGUAAAGCCCUAUCGGCAGGGAAGAAGCAAGACGGUACCUGACUAAGAAGCCCCGGCUAACUACGUGCCAGCAGCCGCGGUAAUACGUAGGGGGCGAGCGUUAUCCGGAUUCACUGGGUGUAAAGGGCGCGUAGACGGGCAUGCAAGCCAGGGGUGAAAGCCCGGGGCCCAACCCCGGGACUGCCCUUGGAACUGGAUGGCUGGAGUGCGGGAGGGGCAGGCGGAAUUCCUGGUGUAGCGGUGAAAUGCGUAGAUAUUAGGAGGAACACCGGUGGCGAAGGCGGCCUGCUGGACUGUGACUGACGUUGAGGCCCGAAGGCGUGGGGAGCAAACAGGAUUAGAUACCCGAGUAGUC
This 441-nucleotide ribosomal RNA is filed under the name uncultured bacterium. RNAcentral describes it as "partial 16S ribosomal RNA". It matches the Rfam family "Bacterial small subunit ribosomal RNA", at positions 338 to 795 of the family's 1533-position model. The record is from RNAcentral.